RNAcentral lists this ribosomal RNA (447 nucleotides) under Micrococcus sp. oral taxon F54. RNAcentral describes it as "bacterial SSU rRNA". It matches the Rfam family "Bacterial small subunit ribosomal RNA", at positions 28 to 486 of the family's 1533-position model. The record is from RNAcentral. Lineage: Bacteria; Bacillati; Actinomycetota; Actinomycetes; Micrococcales; Micrococcaceae.
GAUGAACGCUGGCGGCGUGCUUAACACAUGCAAGUCGAACGAUGAAGCCCAGCUUGCUGGGUGGAUUAGUGGCGAACGGGUGAGUAACACGUGAGUAACCUGCCCUUGACUCUGGGAUAAGCCCGGGAAACUGGGUCUAAUACCGGAUAGGAGCGCCUGUCGCAUGACGGGUGUUGGAAAGAUUUUUCGGUCAUGGAUGGACUCGCGGCCUAUCAGCUUGUUGGUGAGGUAAUGGCUCACCAAGGCGACGACGGGUAGCCGGCCUGAGAGGGUGACCGGCCACACUGGGACUGAGACACGGCCCAGACUCCUACGGGAGGCAGCAGUGGGGAAUAUUGCACAAUGGGCGGAAGCCUGAUGCAGCGACGCCGCGUGAGGGAUGACGGCCUUCGGGUUGUAAACCUCUUUCAGUAGGGAAGAAAGCGAAAAGUGACGGUACCUGCAGAA